AUGAGCUUUGUGUUCCGGGGCAGCAGGGCCGACAUCGAGGCCGGUGGCUUCCCAGGGUUUGCCGCGGAGCGCCGUUCCAUGCGGAUUCAUGCCGGGGGGCGGCCGGUGAACAGCAAUUCCUUAGCUUUUCUUGUAACUGUUCUUGUUUUGUUCAUGGUACUGAGCUCGCACCAGAUGUCUCCGAACUUUUUGCUUUGGAUGGUCUUAGGUGUGUUCCUAUUGGCCACCAGCCUUAGGAUGUACGCUACAUGCCAGCAGCUCCAAGCGCAGUCUCAAGCUCAUGCUGCAGACGGCAACGGCUUCCUUGGACGCACAGAGUUGCGGGUGCAUGUCCCGCCAACCAUAGCCCUUGCUUCGAGAGGCCGGUUGCAAAGCCUUAGACUCCAACUUGCUCUGCUUGACCGCGAGUUUGAUGAUUUAGAUUAUGAUGCUCUCAGAGCGCUAGAUACUGACAAUAGCCCACAUGCUCCUUCUAUGACUGAAGAAGAAAUAAAUACUCUGCCUGUUUUCAGAUACAAAUUUCAGGCGCAGCAGAGGAGCACCCCUUCUCGAAAAAGUAGUGAUGGGCCAUCUGAACCAUUGGUUUCUUCUCCUGAAUCCGGCAAGGAGAAAAAGCAAGAUGCAGAUGCAACAAGCAAAAUGACAGAUGAUGAGUUGACGUGCAGUGUUUGCUUAGAGCAAGUUGUCGCGGGUGAUCUAUUGAGAAGCCUGCCAUGCUUGCAUCGGGUAAUUAUCAUACUGAUCAUCUUGCAGUUGUUUUCUUCAUUUUGA
This 771-nucleotide ribosomal RNA is filed under the name Triticum aestivum (bread wheat). RNAcentral describes it as "partial small subunit ribosomal RNA". Lineage: Eukaryota; Viridiplantae; Streptophyta; Magnoliopsida; Poales; Poaceae. The record is from RNAcentral.